This 495-nucleotide ribosomal RNA is filed under the name uncultured bacterium. RNAcentral describes it as "partial 16S ribosomal RNA". It matches the Rfam family "Bacterial small subunit ribosomal RNA", at positions 28 to 507 of the family's 1533-position model. The record is from RNAcentral.
GACGAACGCUGGCGGCGUGCCUAAUACAUGCAAGUAGAACGCUGAAGGAGGAGCUUGCUUCUCUGGAUGAGUUGCGAACGGGUGAGUAACGCGUAGGUAACCUGCCUGGUAGCGGGGGAUAACUAUUGGAAACGAUAGCUAAUACCGCAUAAUAGCAGUUGUUGCAUGAUAACUGUUUGAAAGGUGCAAUUGCACCACUACCAGAUGGACCUGCGUUGUAUUAGCUAGUUGGUGGGGUAACGGCUCACCAAGGCGACGAUACAUAGCCGACCUGAGAGGGUGAUCGGCCACACUGGGACUGAGACACGGCCCAGACUCCUACGGGAGGCAGCAGGAGGGAAUCUUCGGCAAUGGACGGAAGUCUGACCGAGCAACGCCGCGUGAGUGAAGAAGGUUUUCGGAUCGUAAAGCUCUGUUGUAAGAGAAGAACGAGUGUGAGAGUGGAAAGUUCACACUGUGACGGUAUCUUACCAGAAAGGGACGGCUAACUACGUG